RNAcentral lists this ribosomal RNA (253 nucleotides) under uncultured bacterium. Its description in RNAcentral is "partial 16S ribosomal RNA". It matches the Rfam family "Bacterial small subunit ribosomal RNA", at positions 524 to 776 of the family's 1533-position model. The record is from RNAcentral.
UACAGAGGUCCCAAGCGUUGUUCGGAUUCACUGGGCGUAAAGGGUGCGCAGGUGGUCGGGUAAGUCUGACGUGAAAUCCCGCAGCUUAACUGCGGAAUGGCAUUGGAUACUAUUCGGCUAGAGGGUUGGAGGGGGGACUGGAAUUCUCGGUGUAGCAGUGAAAUGCGUAGAUAUCGAGAGGAACACCAGUGGCGAAGGCGAGUCCCUGGACAACUCCUGACACUGAGGCACGAAAGCUAGGGGAGCAAACAGG